CCCAAGAACGUCACAAUAGCAUGAAAACUGAACAGGAUGGUUCUGUUUAAUGCUCUUUUGUUGUUGAUGACUCAGCACCCUAACCUGUUCAGUCACUCCUACAGUCAGAACAGGGGAGCAAGGCCCGCUCAGUAUUUUCCUGUUCAUCCGCUGUUGUGUUUUUAAGCAUAAUGAACUCAGUUAACUAAACACAUUGCCAAGUUCUAUUUGACGUUAGCAAACAGGUUAGCACUGCGGCAUUUUUUUGAUAUGGACAAUGUGAAUUCUCAAGAUUGGAGAGCUGUUUCCUGGUGGGGAAAAUCACCUGUUGUCCCUCAGCAAAGACACAUAAUAAUAGUUUUGGUUUCUCUUUGUCUCCUCUUCAAGAGUUCAAAAGUUUCUCCUAUAUUUUAUCUCGGUCAUCUCUAUAGGUUUGUUGUGAAGGCAGAAGAGUUGUUAUCAUCCUUGUUUUGGAGAAGGAAAAACUAAGCCUUUCUGCAGGGAGUGGGGCUGGAGGUGAUUUUCUGAACCAGAGUCUAUCAAAGUCUAUCAAAGCUAAAGAACCUCGUGUUCUCAUAUUCUUGCAAUUAAAUGGGCCCUUGACUGAUAAUGGCUAAUGGACUCUGAGUGGAAGUGAUGUAUGUCAUUUUUGGCCCAAGUGUUUAAAAGUGAAGGAAACAGCUUCCUGUGUAUUGCUGGCCCCAAAUAUCCAGCAGAAGAGCAGAAGAGCCUCCGUCCUUGAAGUGACCAAUUACCUGCUUCCAGUGAUGGCUUCCUCCAUUCGAUUUUUUUGCCAAGACUCCAGGCCACAGCAUCACUUAUGAUUCCCAGGAUGUAACAUACUGUCAAAGGUCCUCCACCAGUCUCUUGACUACUCACCAUGUUUUUCCCAAUAAAGCAUUUUAUUGCUUUAUCAAUGAUCAAGUCCAUAUAAGAGAGAGCACUGCAUUCUGAUAUGGACAAUGUGGGGAUUUGAGAGCUGCAGAAAGGGAAAUGGAGGAAGAAGACAAACUACCAAAGGGAAAUGUCCAGGAUGGGAUGCUCAAUAAACUGGGUUUUUUUUCCCCCUCAUCUUCUGGAGUGAUCCAAAGAAGAGGAGAAAUUCAAAGAACCUACCACUUGUUACCAUUCAUGGACACUCCAGUUUCCCCAUUUCAUGAUAAUUUCACAUACAAAUGUGUUAGGAAGCCAACAAGCCAAAGUCAACAGCUAGAAUGAGAAACUCAGAAUUUAAGAUGGCAGGACCCAGAGAUACCACCUUCAUUUCAUGUGGAGAGCGAAGGGUUGAAACAACCCUGAAAGACUCCUAAGCCCCUUGAGAUUCUUGAGUCAGAUAAGAACAUAAUGAGCCAGGAUAUGAAACUGGUACAAAAACAAGGAUGUUGACUUUUAAAGAAAACAACGAAUAUAGAAAGGAUUUGAAUGUCUGCUGGACAAGAAAGUAACAUUCCUGGAAUUGUAAAGAUAUAUUUGACCUUUUCUCUGUAAAAAUAAUUAGUCACGAGAUCAUGAGGGGAGGAAGGGAGGGAGGCUGUGGGUAAUGAAGGAGGAUAUAUAAGAGGCUCAAUAAAGUGGGAAGGAGAAGGCCCUCGCUCUCUCUCCUUUUCUUUUCUCCCGAGUUUGUGUUGUUUUUCUUAAUCCUCACCCCUCUCCUCAGGUACUGUUUGACUAGUGACGGCUCGCUCCGUCACAAGUGGCGCCCGAACAGGGACCUGAGAAUUGAGGACAAGGUGAAGGACACCGCUGGAUUGUGAGCUCAGACAA
Molecule: long non-coding RNA, 1743 nt
Filed under: Heterocephalus glaber (naked mole-rat)
Lineage: Eukaryota; Metazoa; Chordata; Mammalia; Rodentia; Bathyergidae
Description: lncRNA (ENSHGLG00000037124.1)
Source: RNAcentral